GGGCCCGUAGCUCAGCCAGGACAGAGCGCCGGCCUGCGGAGCCGGAGGUCCCGGGUUCAAAUCCCGGCGGGCCCGCCA
This 78-nucleotide transfer RNA is filed under the name Aeropyrum sp. RNAcentral describes it as "tRNA-Arg". It matches the Rfam family "tRNA". Rfam says of the family: Transfer RNA (tRNA) molecules are approximately 80 nucleotides in length. Their secondary structure includes four short double-helical elements and three loops (D, anti-codon, and T loops). RNAcentral also lists the same sequence under 1 other name. The record is from RNAcentral. Lineage: Archaea; Thermoproteati; Thermoproteota; Thermoprotei; Acidilobales; Acidilobaceae.